Andrographis paniculata is the source of this 119-nucleotide small nuclear RNA. RefSeq annotates it as U5 spliceosomal RNA. The record is from RefSeq and is a predicted model, not a curated record. Lineage: Eukaryota; Viridiplantae; Streptophyta; Magnoliopsida; Lamiales; Acanthaceae. The transcript has a single exon.
AGCCGCGCAGUAGGCACAUAGCGAACUAUUCUUUCGCCUUUUACUAAAGAAUACCGUGUGUCUGCUGCAAUUAAGUGGCAUACGCUACUUUUUGGAGGGGUAUUCCUUUAUUUGGAACU